GGGACGCUACUGCGCAUGUUCGCUCAGGGAGGCCAAAGCCGCAAAUCGUCCGGAGGGAGUCGGCGCAGAGUGACCCUUUCCCCGGCCCGUCGCUCUGAGUCGCAGCUGGUUAGUGACAUUGAAGAGUCUCCGGCCUGGCCCUGCCCGAGAGACUCGGCGCCGCAGGGACGGAGGUUGGACACGCCCGGGCCCAGCACCAUGUGGGCCGCCGCCGCCGGCAGAGCUACUAAGAUGUUGGAAAGGAAUGUUUCUUCAAUUCUGAGACCAACUAAAGGAAUGGAUCUGAAGAUCAAGAGAGGUUUUUGCAGUAAAUCACAGGAGGGGAGCAAACAAAACCCUGAAGUAGGGGGGCAUUCCACCUUCAAAGUGCCAGGACACAAGCCUUCAGAUUGGGAAAAGAAGGUUCUGCUGUGGUCAGGCCGUUUCAAAAAAGUAGAUGAUAUACCAGAGACUGUCUCGUUUGAGUUGAUCGAUGCUGCGCGAAAUAAAUUGCGUGUGAAGAUCAGCUACCUGAUGAUUGCCCUGACAGCACUGGGAUGCAUCGCGAUGGUCAUUGAAGGAAAGCGGGUGCAUACAGACAUAAAACAGACCAACGUACAAGCCUCUUAAACUGCACUCAAUCUAUACAGUCUUCAUAAAUGUCGUUGGUUACGUAGUUAGGAGUGUUAGUCAGAACCUGGAACUAAAAUCCUUCAUUGGCUGUCGGAAGACAUGAAUCCCUUACAACCCAAAACAUGGAAAGAAAAGCUCGCUGGAGAGAGGAGGUUGCUCAGAGUGCAUCUGCCAAACCCUAGGAGAGGGAGGAGACCUGGUGAGAAGGAUACAAAGAUGAUGCUUUCUUCAUUGAUGAGAGAGGGGUAGAUCUUCAUGUGUUUUGCUUUUACAUUAUGGUCCUCUGCUCUUAUGCUUUAGGAAAGACAAAUAAAUUAUUUUGUAGUAAUACUAAAAA
RNA transcript from Trachemys scripta elegans, 949 nucleotides. It is a transcript of the gene named family with sequence similarity 162 member A, with no coding region annotated. The record is from RefSeq and is a predicted model, not a curated record. The transcript has 6 exons. Lineage: Eukaryota; Metazoa; Chordata; Testudines; Emydidae.